AUGUGUCUCCCGUUCCUCUGCGGCGGCCGCGAUGAUCACGGGCCGUCCCCGCGGCACCAACGAUCCCCGCCGUCGCCGCAGCAUCCUCAUGCAUUUUCAGAGCAAGACCAUCCAGCAGCAUACUCUGCAUACCCCUGGAAACAACCAGCCUAUGAAUCGUCUUACCAGGGAGACGAGACCAAGAACGGAGCGCCCCAGGCGGCGCAAGCAAAUGCGAGAGACUGGAGAAUGGAUAACGGGCCGGCGCAUCCUGCACCAAGGUACGCUCCUGCCGAUGCUCCUCGCCAUGGGCAUGAGCCACCGGCAGAUCCGCGGCUGGUGGAGGACUGGACGAGGCAAGGUCCGGCACGGCUGUUUACCACCCGUCGGGCUGGAGACGACGACGCCCCUACUGCCGCCUCCAACGACCAGCUCAAUCGCGGUGCUAGCCGUGGCGGCGCGGGGUCGAAAUCACGGGGACCGGUGAUCAGGUGA
RNAcentral lists this ribosomal RNA (474 nucleotides) under Triticum aestivum (bread wheat). RNAcentral describes it as "partial small subunit ribosomal RNA". The record is from RNAcentral. Lineage: Eukaryota; Viridiplantae; Streptophyta; Magnoliopsida; Poales; Poaceae.